ACAAACUUGGUCAUUUAGAGGAAGUAAAAGUCGUAACAAGGUUUCCGUAGGUGAACCUGCGGAAGGAUCAUCUAAGAAUUUUGAUAAUCCAAAAAAAUCUCUGGUUCCUGGGUUUGUGUAGGGGGUGUUGUUCUCUUUUAGAAAGAGAAUGAAUUCCCUUCCGGCUCUUGAGCCAAAACAACCAAUAGUCUCAGUGAGAGAAAAAAAACAACAACAAAUAUUUGAAUGAAAUGAUAAUCGAAUUCAUUGAUUCUUUUAUUUUUACUUUUCAGUAUUUGGGGUUUUCUUUUCACAAUCAUCACUUUGACUUUUUGUUUUAGAGACUAAGCGGGUUCGCUUUGGGAAUUUUUCCUAGAGCAACCUCUUGUCUCGUCACUUUUGUGGGCUACACAAAAUAAUAAAAUACAACUUUUAACGAUGGAUCUCUUGGCUCCCGCAUCGAUGAAGAACGCAGC
RNAcentral lists this unclassified non-coding RNA (455 nucleotides) under uncultured fungus. RNAcentral's name for it is "partial contains small subunit ribosomal RNA, internal transcribed spacer 1, and 5.8S ribosomal RNA". The stretch from base 1 to 73 matches the Rfam family "Eukaryotic small subunit ribosomal RNA", at positions 1759 to 1831 of the family's 1831-position model. Lineage: Eukaryota; Fungi. The record is from RNAcentral.